AUUCAGUGAUUCUUUUAUUGAAUUAUAAUUUACAUACAACAUUACAAAAUAAUAACAAUACAAAAAAUUGAAUUUAGCAGAAAAAUUAUGGUGAAAGCCUCUGAUCUUAACAUCACAAAUAAUGUCUUCUACUAGGCACCUAACUUUCAAGGGGCUACAUUUUUCUUUCUCUUAGGUAGAAAAAAUAAAUCUGUCUCAUCAAAAUAUAUCCUUGAAAAUUGAGAAAAUACAACCAAAUGACACAAAUGCUGGAAUUACCUAACAUGGAUUUUAAAGCAUCAGUCCUAUAAAUGACUGAAAAAUAAAAGUAAAAUAAAAUCAAUAAUAAUAAAAUAAAAAUAUAAAUAAAUAAAUAAAUAAAUAAAUAAAUAAAUAAAAUAAGCAAUCACAAGCACUUAGAACAAAUGGGAAAAAAGGAGGGGUCUCGCUAAAGAAAUAAAAGAUAUGGGAUCCCUGGGUGGCUCAGAGAUUUAGCACCUGCCUUUGACCCAGGGCAUGAUCCUGGAGACCUGGGAUCGAGUCCCACGUCGGGCUCCCUGCAUGGAGCCUGCUUCUCCCUCUGCCUGUGUCUCUGCCUUUCUCUCUCUGUGUGUCUCUCAUGAAUAAAUAAAUAAAAUCUUAAAAAAAAUAAAAGAUAUAAAGAAGAACCAUGUGAAAAUAUUAGAACUAAAAAAUACACCAGAAAUAGAAAUUCAAUGGAAGGACUCAACAACAGAGCAGAGGGACAGAGGAAAGAAUUAGUAUACACAAGGAUAGAAUUAUAGAUAUUACCCAACAUGAACAAAAGAGAGAAAACAGACGGCAGGGGAAAAAAUUAUGUGCAGAGCUCAGUGACCUGUUAAAGUAAAACAAUAUAUUUAACAUUAUGUCAUUAGAUUCAAGGAAAGGGAGGAGAGUGUGGGACUGAAAAAUGUUCUAAGAAAUAAUGGCUAAAAUUUUUCCAAAUUUGGCAAAAGACAUAAGCCUAUAGAUUCAAACAUGGAUGGGCCUCGAGGGUAUUAUGCUAAUUGAAAUAAGUCAGACCAAGAAAGACAAAUAUCAUAUGAUUUCACUUAUAUGGGGAAUCUAAAAAACAAAACAAGUGAAAGAACAAACAGAAACAGAAUCAGAAUUAUAAAUACAGAGAACGCACUGAUGGUUGUCAGAGGAAAGGGGUUGGGGGACCAAAUGGGUAAAGGGGAGAUUAAGAGAUACAGGCUUCCAGUUAUGGAAUGGACUAGUCUGGAGAAUAAAAGGCACAGCAUAGGGAAUGUAGUUCAUGAUAUUAUAACAGUGUUGUAUGGUGACAGAUGGCAGCUACACUUGCGGCAAGCACAGCAUAAUAUAGAGACAGUUGAAUCUCGAUGUUGGGCACCUGAAACUGAUGUCAUAUUGUGUGUCAACUCCACUCAUAAUUUUUUUUUUUUAAAUUUCAAAAGCUGAGCCAAUUCCAAAUGGGGUAAAGCCAAAGAAAUCCACAAAGACACACCAUAAUCAAACUUCCAUCAACUAUAGACAAAGAAAAAAAUCUUAAAAGUGGAAAAAGAGAAAUGACAUUUUGCCUCUAGAGGUAAAACUAUUUAAGUGACAGAUUUGUCAUCAUAAAACACAAAUGCCAAAGGAAAGUGGCAUAUUUUCAAAUGCUGAAAGAAAAACAUGUCAGCCCCACAUUCUGUAUCUGGUCCAAAUCAUCCUUCAGGAAUUAAGGGGAAAUCAAGACAUUCUCAGAUGAAGAAAAAUGAAGAGAAUGUGUAUCACCGAUAGACCUGCAAGAAGGCCUAAAAGAAGUUCUUGAAUAUUCAUGCAUGCACUUGAUGGUUUUACUGAAGGAAGAUGUAAUCAUUCUUAUCCAAAUUAUAUAAAUGGAAAGUUGGAAGCUCAGAGCAAUGAAAGAACGUAUCCGAAGUUGUCCAGAGAGAGCGUUUUAUGAUUCAAGAAAAAAAAAAAAAAUCAGUCAUAAAGGAAAACCCAUUUAACAAGGUUUUCAUUUCCCCCUUUUUGUGUCCUGUGUUACACUUUUGUGGUCUCCCCAUAAAAAAGUCGUUGUUUUCUUUAAUCUUUUAAAACUCUUAAAUGGAAUUACAAAUGUCUUCUUAAUUGUAAUAUAAAGUGUCCUAGUCCAUUCAUAGAUCUAGACUAUAAAAAUGGGUAUAAUACCUUAAACAAAUUACAGAGACCAUAUUCUUCAAAUAUCCUGCCUUAGCUAACGUCUAUAAUGACAAACAGUGAAAUCAUUUUGAAUCUACUGGGGCCAAUUUACUGGUGCGGUGCACAGGGUCCAGGGCUUCCAGCUAUAAUUAGAAAACGGCGCCGGCCCUCGAUUAGUUUCGGUGACUAUAGUAAUUCCAUAUGCAACCUAUGCCUGCUGACUAGUGAACUAGAUCGUGUAUCUUUUGUAAAUUGCUCUUGUUAGUCACUUGUAAUUUAUUUUAUGUUUCCAACAACAAUUUCAAACCGGCAAUGUCAGGAACACAUGUUUUUGCAAUUAUUGGAAAAACAGACCAGAGAAUGUGCGCCUCCAACCAUAUCCCCACUAUUGGCUAUCAAUAUUUACGUAAACUACUGAAUAUUUCCGAAAAUCAACAAAGGUUGUGAACAUAAUUUCUCGUUUAAAAUACAGGAUAGAAAACAUACUUCCUGUCUGGCUCAGGAUAUUUGUUUCAAAACUAUGAGGUUGCUUUAUCUCCAAAAGACACUAUAAUUUACAGCCUGCGCUGCUUUCCCUAUUCUUUAUUCUGAUAGUCAAUAUAUUCAUAAUAGAUUACUUGAAAUUUUUUCUUAACAUCCAUUGUGGCUUCAAAUUCAGUUGACAUUUUUAAGGUGCCUAAUGUUUCUAAGACUAGCAAACACCUUCUUCUACCCAUUCUUGUCCAUGGCUGCAUCUAUAGUCAGUGAAAGCUAACAGUGUGCUGUUUUCUUAUUCCAUUUUGGCGUAUUGUCAAUGCUCAUAAAUGUAUGCAUAGUCUCAAACAGAAUAUUUUACAAAAUGAGUAUUGAUAAUGUGUCAGAUGUUUGGUAUAAUAAUGAAUAUUUCAACAGCUAUCCCACAGAGUUUUGAACAAUUAUGGAAAUAAAAUAUCCAAUAUUGAUUUACACAUAUAUCCAUACAUAUUGCUUUCCAGACGUAUCUUUUUAAGAAAUAAAAAACUUGGUUCAUAACAUAAAAAUAUGUAAGUCAAAUAAAUUGGUUUGUAAUCAAUUUUAGACCACUGAAUCACAGACCGACAUAUAAAUAGGUGAUCAAAUGCUAUUUAAAUAAAUAAAUGAGUAAAAAUUUGAAACACAUAUACGAAACUGAAGGUUAUAGUGAGGAGGCUUUGUUUGUAGUGAUAAACAAAUAUGCCUUUAGGAUAAAUUUGUUUUAAAUAUUGAAUAUGAAACCCAUAUCUUAGUACAAAUUUCAAACAUGUCCCUAACAUUGAGAUUAUAAUAGGCCUCAUUCAGAAGCUGAUAAUACUCUCUGUAGUACAUGUAUAAAUUUAAAAUACAUAGUGAUUAUUCACUUUUUAUAUCCCUAUGCUUAUACUUCUGAAUUGCUGUAUAUAAAAUUUUUCUAAGAUUUAAGUCCCAAUCGUCCAUGAGAUAAAAAGAUAAAACCACAAUGAGACUUUAAAACACUGUAAGCUCUUUUGAACUCAAACCUUUACCCCAAUAUUAAGAGUAAUGGAGCUUCAAGAGACAGUUGAAUACACAUUAAUUAUUGUAAUUAUUCAAGCUGCUUUCCCUUAGGGCCAUCAGAUUUCUAAGCUGAAAGGGCAUUCUUAGCCCACCAUGACAAUUAGCACCUGAUAAAUGAUGCUACUGCCACACUUCUAAGAUAGUGAUUGAUCAUUUCCAAUUAAUUCCUAAGAGAAAUCAAUGCUUCCUUCCUAGAGCAUUUAUGUUAACUAAUUUAUAUUAAUACAAAUAUUCUAUAUCCACAAUUAUCUAGGGAAGAUGGGCCAUUCUGUUCAUAACAGGCUACUACUUUAGGGCAUCGGUAUACUGUUUCAGAGCUCCAAAAAUGUGUAAAAGAGUUAUAAAAUCCAAGCGAAAUUGAGCAAUUUAACCACAGCAACUGAAUCUUGACAUUAAUGAAGGUUGAUCCAUAUCAAAUGCAACAAAGAAGUUUUAGAUGAUUAUUUAGGGACGCCUGGGUGGCUCAGCGGUUGAGCGUCUGCCUUCAGCCCACCAGGAGUCCUGGGAUCAAGUCCCACAUCGGGUUCCCUGCAGGGAGGCUGCUUCUCCCUCUGCCUGUGUCUCUGCCUCUCUCUCUCUAUGAAUAAAUAAAUAAAAAUCUUAAAAAAAAAUAAAAGAUUUUGCAGAUUGUUGGGUUACAAUUUGAAAAUGCUACCACGUACUGAGUUCCCCACUCUUCUUGUUUAGAUUUGUCCUCCUUGUAGCCACUAGAAAAAAUAUUUGCGUUUCUUAGAGAUGUGAUGCAAAGGGUAACACUCUAAUGAAAUGUUCGCUCCAUUCCUAUUCCUACCUUAUUAUGUGCUCCAUUCUCAUGCAUUCAUAAAUAGUUAUCAACUACUUAAUAUGCCAGUUUGUCUAACGUUAUGGAGAGGACAAAUAACUUGAUACCAGAAAACUAUCCUUUAAAGUCGGUGUCGAAGUUAAGUUGGUAUGGGUUAAAGGAAAAAGGAACACUUCCACUUCUGGCAAAGCCACAAGUGUAUUUUAGAUGGGACUCAACUGCUACAAACAUUUAGAUUCUCAACAAAACAUACUUUUUUAGUGCUUUGUUGGAAUUUUAGGAAAUAAAGGAAAUUUCCAAGUCACCUUUCUUACCCUUCCUCACCCUGCCCCCCGCCCCCAGCCCCCUGCCAAACAUAGAUCUCCAAAGGCAGAGAGAUGUGAGAAGCAUUCAAACAUGGGGCUUCACCUUUAAGCCUAUAGCAGUUUUUCCAGUCGCCUUCAACCAUGUGAUUCAAAGUAGCUCACUAGCAUUGUACUGACAUCCCAGGUCUUUGGAAAGGAGAAACAAGGCCUAAGAGCAAAUUAAUUUCAUAUCCUUAGAGUGUGAAUCUUAAGCUGUAUGUAUCAAUUCUGCUUGUAUACAGCUGGUCAAAACCUAGUGUGAGGACCAUACCUAACUGCAAGAGACAUUGGGAAUUUACUCUCUAAUUGGGUGGCCAUUUCUAGCUGAAAUGUGGGGGUGAGAUAUUAUUAUAUAUCAAAAAAAGAUAUAUGUCAAAACAUGAGACUUGCAGUGAAAGCAGAAUUCAGAAGACAAUUUAAAUGUUAUAUAAUAAUACAAAAAGGAGCUACACAUAGGCUAAAUGUUCUCAUUUAAGAAGGAAAGAACAGAAUAAAACAAAAUAGAUAAAAUAAGAGCAGAAGCUUUUGAAAAGGAAAAAUGUAUAAGGUAUUAAUUAUUGGUAAAAAUUAUGUAACAUUUAACAUCUGAAGAGACUAAUAAAAAAAAGAGCAUAAACAGGCUAAGUAAAAAAAAGAAACAGAACUUUAUAUAGAUACUUAUGAUGAAAAAAACAGAAAUAUUAGUGAUCAAAAAAAUAAGAAACCACUUUGUUCCAAUAAAUUUGAAAACUUAGAUGAAAUAAACUUUGAUAGGUUAACUUACUAAAACUGACCUUAGAAGAAAUAGAAGUAUGAACAGCUAUUACAACCAUUAACAAAAUUUAAAUUUUAGUUAUGUAAUUAAAAAAAACAUUCAGCUCAGAUUGUAGUAGAGAAUAAUUCUACAAAACUCUCAAGGAGGGACGCCUGGGUGGCUCUGCAGCUGAGUGAUCCUGGAGUUCUGGGAUUAGGUCUCGAGUCAGGCCAGGAUUAGGUCUGGAGUCUGGCUCCUUGCAGGGAGCCUGCUUCUCCCUCU
RNAcentral lists this long non-coding RNA (5797 nucleotides) under Canis lupus familiaris (dog). RNAcentral's name for it is "lncRNA (ENSCAFG00000051178.1)". The record is from RNAcentral. Lineage: Eukaryota; Metazoa; Chordata; Mammalia; Carnivora; Canidae.